Nicotiana tabacum (common tobacco) is the source of this 2225-nucleotide long non-coding RNA. RefSeq lists it as uncharacterized. NCBI's taxonomy places the organism in Eukaryota, Viridiplantae, Streptophyta, Magnoliopsida, Solanales, Solanaceae. The record is from RefSeq and is a predicted model, not a curated record.
AAUUACCGUAUCUCGAUGCUACGUUAUUAUUCCGUUUUUAUUACCGUGAAUAUUAUUUCUGCGCUAGGUUUAUUCCCAACACUUGUGUGUUCUCGUGCCUUGGGUUAGUCUUUUCGAAAUCAAGGAUCUUAACUGCUCCAACUGAGUCAGUUACUGUUGUCAUUCUUAUUUUCUGAAACAUGUGGCUUUAUUUGUACUUAUGCCCGUGUGUGCACAAUUUGUUUUUUCGUGGCCAGCCCUGUAGUUCCUGAUGUGAGCAAUAGCCCUCGUAUUUCCUCAAAUGUAUUUGUGGAUGUUUUCUUUCUUUUUAAUUUGCUUUUUGAUCUUAAUUUGUGUUGCAUGCACUUGUCAUUCUUCAUAUGUUCUCAUGUAUAUUUUGUGCCUCGUCUUAGUUGUUUAAUUUGGAUACAGGCUUCAACUGUCAGUUGCUAUUUGAGUUUCAAAUGCACACUCUUAUUCUAACUAUAUAUUUUUCAGCCUUACCACUCUUCUCUCCUUGCUUACUGAGUUUAGUAUUCCCUUGACUUUAUAGAAAAAGUUGGAGAUGUAUAAUAUCAAUGAAGUUUUUAUGCUUAAAUCUCAAUAGCCACCCUAAGACUCUGACAACUACUACUGUCACCUGUGAAGAUAGUCAAAAUUCGAUAUAAUUAAUUUCCUUGUUUUUUCUAAGUUUUUAUAUUUAUGAAAAUUUCUUGUUCUGUUCAUUCCAGGGCUGCGAUGCAUCUGUUCUGCUUGCUGACAGCAGUAAGAAUAGGACUGUUGAACGUGAGGCGAUCCCAAAUCGGAGUUUCGGACACUGAAAGGGUUCAAUUUCAUCGACAUGAUAAAGGAUGAAAUUGAGGAGGCAUGCUCUGGGGUGGUCUCUUGUUCUGAUAUCCUUGUCCUUGCAACAAGAGAUGGCGUCGUUCUGUUUUUCCAGUUGCAAUCUUAACAAGGCGCUGCUCAGACUGAUAAGGGUGUAGGACGUUCGUGGAAGACAGUUAUGACGAUUCAGAUGAUCCAGUGACCGUGAGUGGGAGAAAGUGAAUUCAUAGUGGAGCCAUUUCUAUUGGAAGAAAGUCUAUUUAGGAUCUUAUUGAGGUGGUGUGGAACAAGUCGUUAGAAGAAAGUCCAUGCUAGAAAUUCAAAAGGUGAUUUCGCAAGUGUGUGAGUUGGUCGCGAUGAAUUGAUCAGUUACGAGUUUUUAUAACUUUAAGCUAGUUCAUUUAAUAUAGCCCAAGAAUUGAUACACUGAAACUAUAUUAGUUCGAGGUGAGAGCUUAAGCACAAUAUGAGUUACAUAAGUUCCCAUAUAGCAGUAGAUACUCUUGGAUAUUUUAAGAAUGAGACGGUUGAACUAUCAGUUUGAUAAAAACAUAAAGAGAAGACAGCAUCGACAUCAAAUGCUUAAGCAUUUUAGAUCGGAACUGCUUUUAUGCGCUGGAAAUUAAAAUAUCUGACUUUCAGAGUCACUGGCCAUAAAUUUAGACAGAGCCAAUAAGUUUAAAACCUACACCAGGAAACUAAACACAGUUCGCCUCAAAACUGACUGUUAGUUUGUACAAGUUCAACACUGGAAAGAUUCAUUGAAGCAUGAAACCGAAACCAAAAAUUGCUAAGUCUAAACAAGGUCAUCAAAAGACAGAAAGGCUCAUCAAAUUCUCUUUUAAGAUAGAAAUUUGAUUAUUGAUGUUUCAAGCUUGAGUUUGAUAGAGAGAAUAACAGCACCAUCAACAAUAUGUUCAAUGAACGAAUAGCUAGGAGUCUGAGUGAGUCUGCUAUGUCAUACUCUCAGGGACUAUCCGCAUUUUCCUCAAUCGGAGCUUCAUUUGAUAAUCACUAUUACAAGACUUUGAUUAGAGGAAGAGGGCUACUAUUUGCUGAUCAAAAGUUGAUGGCUAAUGAAAAGACGGCAGAAGUGGUGAUUGAUUAUGCUUUGGAUGACGGGACUAUGUUCCGAACAGAGUUUGCUCAUGCCAUGGCUAAAUUGUUAGAUUUUGUUGUUCUUACUGGAUCCCAAGGAGAGGUUCAGCGUAGCUGCUCCCAUCUGAAUUCUAAACCAGUAAGAGCUACUGAUCGGAACAUUUACGUACAAUAUGGUAUAGACCAGUUACACUUACUUCUUUUGUGUUGAAGUAGUGAUACUUAAAAGGAAUUUAAUCUUGUUGGAUUAACAAAUAGUACUUAUCUCUUCUAACCAUCACCAUAAAGAAACAAGUGCUAAAUUGCAAAAGCAUUUACGGUCA